Molecule: ribosomal RNA, 253 nt
Filed under: uncultured bacterium
Lineage: Bacteria
Description: partial 16S ribosomal RNA
Rfam family: Bacterial small subunit ribosomal RNA
Source: RNAcentral
GACAGAGGGGGCAAGCGUUGCUCGGAAUCACUGGGCGUAAAGGGCGCGUAGGCGGGCAGGUAAGUCAGUGGUGAAAUCUCCGGGCUUAACCCGGAAACUGCCGUUGAUACUAUCUGUCUUGAAUAUCGUGGAGGUAAGCGGAAUAUGUCAUGUAGCGGUGAAAUGCUUAGAUAUGACAUAGAACACCCAUUGCGAAGGCAGCUUACUACACGAUCAUUGACGCUGAGGCACGAAAGCGUGGGGAGCAAACAGG